CCAAAUUUAGAAUCUUUAGAUUCAGAUGAUAUAACAAUAUCAACAUUAAGGCCAGUCCUCCCAUACUCUAAGGCAUUUCUCAUAUCUUUAUAUUUAUCACCCAGUGUAUUUAACAAAGCAACAACUUGUUGAUAUUCAGACAGUUUCUCAUCACAAUCAGUUAAUUCUUUAAUCAGUCUUGUGAAUUUAUCAAUGUUUUCUUCUAAGCUUGAAGAGGGAUCAAAUCUAAAAUUGUAAAAUUGCCCUCAGUAGAUAGCAUUUAUUAGGCAUAGAUUUAAUUAGAAAUAGGGACUCAAGUUUGGUCCAAAGACCUUAUGUAUUAGUAGUUUCACCAACCUUCCUAAUAACACUAUUAGACAGGUGCAAAAAUAUAGAGCUCCAGGCAAUCUCAUCAUAUUCCUGUCUUCUAUAGGCACUAAUCUCAAUACUCCAUGCCCCAUCAAUGGCUCUAGCACAUUUCUGUUGUAAUAACAAGGCUCUCAUUUUCUGACACCACAAACUAAAGUCUCCAGUCCCUCUCCAUAUUUCUACCUCAAACUUUUUUGCAGUAGUCAUGAUUACAGAUAAAGUCACAGAUUCAAGUUUAUAUGCCACACAAGAUAUAACAAGUAUAAGCUAAGAGAACAAUAAAGAUUCCAAUAUCACAAUCUAAUAUCAAGAUAUGCAGUUGAUCAACAAGAACAAUCUAAAUCAUUUUAAGCUGCUAAUUUGAAAGGCCUAAGGAAUGGUGUCCUCGUAGGAGACCUUGGACAAAGGAAGGUAGCAGUAGAUUACUUAGCUCAAUGACCAACUCAAAAUAGACAGUACACAUCUUAAUAAUUAACUGAAAAAUUAAGAGAGUAAGGGAUUUAUACUAGAACUAAAACUUUAAUGUUUCAGGAUGAAGAAGGUAAUAAGGGAUUACCAGAAUCGGCUGCACAAUCCAAGAUAUUACACAAGAAGCCAACGAGUCACAGCAACUCAGUGUGACUCAUUGACAAUUCACAAGAGACCAACAGGAAUCAGAGUGAGUCAAAUUAGCUCAUCGUUAUGCUGAAUGAGUUUUGAAAGAAUACAACUCAAAGGUUAUCAGAAAACCCAAAAAC
This 1085-nucleotide long non-coding RNA is filed under the name Olea europaea subsp. europaea. The record is from RNAcentral. Lineage: Eukaryota; Viridiplantae; Streptophyta; Magnoliopsida; Lamiales; Oleaceae.